AAACAAUCUUGCUCCCAAGGUUGAAUUUUGAAAAUUGAUCUUUAAUGGUAGAAGUGUUUUCCCUCGUGCCAGUCUUUUCUAUAUUCUUGAACACAGUUCAAUGAAAUCAUGUUCAUGGGAAACUGGAGAGAAGGCUUUGCUACUUGCAAAAAUUGCUCUAAUCUCAGUUGCAAUUUCCUUGCCAACUCUAUCAUCAAUGAAUAUAGAUCCAACAAUAAACUCAACUUCAACAUGUUCUUUACCCUGGUACAUUCUAAAAGUUUGGUAUAUCCAUGAAUCAAUCUGUUGAUGCACUUCAUGCACAAUUGGUGCUCAAAAAACUAUAAGAGGUGUUAAACAAGAGGAGACUUCUUGUUGGAAUUGCUGGGAGAUGGUAAACCGUCAAGUCUAAAAGUAUGUGCUGUAGAAAUCUGACCAAUUCCAUCAAAUCCAUUGUUGGCGUAAGAUUUAUGUGUGCUCUAUUGAAUCUUCGACCUUGCUUCUGGUGGUAUAUUCAUUAAGUUUCCCUUCCUUCACAGAAUAAGUUAAUUGUUCUAGACUCAUUGUCAUUAUCUCAAAUAAGAGGAUUAUAAUCAACAAGUACCAGGUUUUUCCCAUUGGAAAAGUCUACUUUUCCCGUUUUUCUCUAUUGAACAAGCAAGAGAUUCAGAUACUACAUCAUGAUGUUGAGCCAUAGUCACAACUUCAGCCAAAGAGUCUGCUUUUGGACCUAUGUCAUUCUUACCUUUAAAAUACUCAAACUGCCUUUUGCCAACAAAUCUUUUACUCAUAACAGUUGUCAACUCCUCCCAAGAUGGAUUCAUGGUCUUUUGGCGCCAGAACUUGAACUAGUGACUAGUGUUUCCCUCCAAGUUGUUAUACGCCAGGUGGAAAUCUUCCAUUUAAGAGAUGUUUUGUACCUCAGAAUCUUUUACCUGAAGUUAUCCCUCCUAAAGGACCAAUUCCCACAAACAUUGACAACUCCAACCUUUUAACCCAAGGGUGAAUUGGUUCUUCUUCCACUUUAUUAAAAGCAUUAUUGUCCUUGUUCUCCUAAUCAUAGUUGUUAUUCGGGACUGAUUGUUCUUCCUUCUUCUCUUCUACAUCGGUCGAAUUCUACCACCCAUUCGGACCCCUUUUCAUUCUUCUUGAUAACUUUAAGCAAUUCUUUAAGUUCUUUCAUAUUUUGUAUUGAAGAUCCCAUAUUAACAAGAGAUAAUAUUAAUGUAUACUCUACAAAAAUAAUAUAAUUUAAUAGGGGUUUAUUGCCGGCUUUUUUUAAAAACUCCUUAAAUUCCCGGCGGUUUUGUUAAAACCGCCUUAAAUUCCCAGCUAUUUUGUUAAAACCACCUUAAAUUCCCGACGGUUUUGUUAAAGCAAAUCAUAUCUGGAAAGAUUUUUGUUAAAGCAACAAAUAAUACUUUAGCAUGGGUAGUGUAUGAUUGGCCUACAACAAUUUUGUUCGUCUUUUUUCCUUCCCUUUAUUCUUUCCAUUGUUCGAAAGUUCUGCAUGAUUCUUGUCUAGCUAAUUAUCAGGCUCAACUACAUGCUAGCAUAUUCUUGGUGGGAUUUUAUGUUAAAUCAUUUCUAUUCUACUGCUUAUGAUUAGUUGUUUUCACCCUACCUGUCAAGGGGUGGCCAAUGGGAUUGUCUCAAUUUUUAGUUUUAAAGUCAAGGGUGGCCAAUGGCAACAAAUUUAAGAAGUAAUGUUAGAAUCAUCAAUGUCAUGCAGACUUGACCCUAAGCUUUCUCAUGAAACCUGUAUUGCUUUCCAUGAAUUGCUUAUAUCAAUUGUUGUUGUUAAAUCCUGAUUCAGAUCUUGAGUUGUAUUGGUGGCAGGAUUGUAAUUUCGUGAGAUUCAGAAUCUUGCCCUUUAUAUUUCUAAAGAGAAAGUUAUCUGACCAAUUAUGAGUGAAUGCAUAUGUAAAUGGUUCAGUCUUGAUCAUAUGGUUUAGGCAGCUAGAAGAAAUGUGGAAAUUAUCUCAUCUGGUUAUCUUCACAUAAUCAAUCAAAUGAAAGAGCUCAUAACUGGCAAGAAGGCCUAUUUGGUUAUGGGAAAUCCACCUGAUAAACUUUCCUGAGGUAUCUGUUCAAAGUGUACCAAAUGAUGAAGGCAAUGAAAAACAACAAAAUUGAUAAUUGUAAUUUAGAAAAUGUUUAUUUUAAUUUUUAAGAUUCAACAUGUUAUUUCUUAAGUUGAAUAAUUAAUUGUAUUUUUAACAUUUACUAGUACAAGCCAAAAGAUGGCUAAUUAUUUUCUCAAUGCACAGAAAAAGAAUUUCAUAAAAAUGUAAGAAUUGUUAUCCAACUUGAUGCACAAAAGAGUAGCAUAAAUAUUACAAAUUACCGUGCACAUUGGUUUCUUUCGUUCGGUCAAAACCAAUAAAUCCAGUCAACAGAAACUAGUCCACAUGCCUUAGGGAAAACUCAAUACUUUCCCUAAAUGAUCAAAUCUUUAAUGAAAGAAACAAUUGGAGUACAAGAACAAAUGGGGAAUCAAUUCAAUUUUUCACUGCAAUAUAUUACAUUAGUGGUUCCCUUCUAUUAAUUAAAAAAUUGUCAUGUUGAUUUCAGAAAUGUUCUUGUUGAGA
Vigna umbellata (rice bean) is the source of this 2570-nucleotide non-coding RNA. Lineage: Eukaryota; Viridiplantae; Streptophyta; Magnoliopsida; Fabales; Fabaceae. The record is from RefSeq and is a predicted model, not a curated record.